AACGAACGCUGGCGGCAGGCCUAAUACAUGCAAGUCGAACGAUCCUUCGGGAUAGUGGCGCACGGGUGAGUAACACGUGGGAACAUACCCUUGGGUGCGGAACAACGUCGGGAAACUGACGCUAAUACCGCAUAAUGACUCCGGUCCAAAGAUUUAUCGCCCAAGGAUUGGCCCGCGCUAGAUUAGGUUGUUGGUGAGGUAACGGCUCACCAAGCCUACGAUCUAUAGCUGGUCUGAGAGGAUGAUCAGCCACACUGGGACUGAGACACGGCCCAGACUCCUACGGGAGGCAGCAGUAAGGAAUAUUGGACAAUGGGGGCAACCCUGAUCCAGCCAUGCCGCGUGAGUGAAGAAGGCCUUAGGGUUGUAAAGCUCUUUCAGGUGCGAAGAUAAUGACUGUAACACCAGAAGAAGCCCCGGCUAAAUUCGUGCCAGCAGCCGCGGUAAUGUCUGUACU
Molecule: ribosomal RNA, 457 nt
Filed under: uncultured bacterium
Lineage: Bacteria
Description: bacterial SSU rRNA
Rfam family: Bacterial small subunit ribosomal RNA
Source: RNAcentral